UAAUACGUAGGGGGCGAGCGUUGUCCGGAUUUAUUGGGCGUAAAGCGCGCGCAGGCGGUUCAUUAAGUCUGGUGUGAAAGCUCCCGGCUCACCUGGGAGAGGGCACUGGAGACUGGUGGACUGGAGCGAGGCAGAGGCCGGUGGAAUUCCCGGUGUAGUGGUGAAAUGCGUAGAGAUCGGGAGGAACACCAGUGGCGAAGGCGGCCGGCUGGGCCUUGACUGACGCUGAGGCGCGACAGCGUGGGGAGCGAACCGGAUUAGAUACCCGGGUAGUCCACGCCGUAAACGAUGGCCACUAGAUGUGGGGGGUAUCGACCCCCUCCGCGUCGUCGCUAACGCAGUAAGUGGCCCGCCUGGGGAGUACGGCCGCAAGGCUA
Molecule: ribosomal RNA, 377 nt
Filed under: uncultured bacterium
Lineage: Bacteria
Description: bacterial SSU rRNA
Rfam family: Bacterial small subunit ribosomal RNA
Source: RNAcentral